GUUUGAUCCUGGCUCAGGAUGAACUCUUGCGGCAGGCUUAACACAUGCAAGUCGAGGGGCAGCAUGUCCAGCAAUGGAUGAUGGCGACCGGCGGAAGGGUGCGUAACGCGUGAGCAACAUGCCCUAUACAGGGAGAUACACCAGGGAAACUUGGUCUAAUAUCCCAUAGCAUUCAUUGAAGGCAUCUUUAAUGAAUUAAAGCUUCGGUGGUAUAGGAUUGGCUCGCGUGACAUUAGCCAGAUGGUGAGGUAACGGCUCACCAUAGCAAUGAUGUCUAGGGGUUUUGAGAGGAAGGCCCCCCACACUGGGACUGAGACACGGCCCAGACUCCUACGGGAGGCAGCAGUGAGGAAUAUUGGACAAUGGAUGGAAAUCUGAUCCAGCCAUGCCGCGUGCAGGAAGACGGCCUUAUGGGUUGUAAACUGCUUUUAUACGGGAGCAAUAAGGGUUACGAGUAAUCCGAUGAGAGUACUGUAUGAAUAAGGAUCGGCUAACUCCGUGCCAGCAGCCGCGGUAAUACGGAGGAUCCGAGCGUUAUCCGGAAUUAUUGGGUUUAAAGGGUGCGUAGGCGGCCAUUUAAGUCAGCGGUGAAAUUUUGCAGCUUAACUGUAACAGUGCCGUUGAUACUGUUUGGCUAGGAUUUGGUUGUAGUGUGCGGAAUGUGUGGUGUAGCGGUGAAAUGCUUAGAUAUCACACAGAACACCGAUUGCGAAGGCAGCACACUAAGUCAUUAUUGACGCUGAGGCACGAAAGUGUGGGGAUCAAAAGGGAUUAGAUACCCUGGUAGUCCACACUGUAAACGAUGAUAACUCGCUGUCGGCGAUACACAGUCGGUGGCCAAGCGAAAGCAUUAAGUUAUCCACCUGGGGAGUACGACCGCAAGGUUGAAACUCAAAGGAAUUGACAGGGGCCCGCACAAGCGGAGGAACAUGUGGUUUAAUUCGAUGAUACGCGAGGAACCUUACCCGGGCUCGAACGGUGCAUGAAUAUACGAGAGAUUGUAUAGUCCUUCGGGACAUGUAUCGAGGUGCUGCAUGGUUGUCGUCAGCUCGUGCCGUGAGGUGUCGGCUUAAGUGCCAUAACGAGCGCAACCCUUGUCAUUAGUUGCCAUCAGGUCAAGCUGGGGACUUUAAUGAGACUGCCACCGUAAGGUGUGAGGAAGGGGGGGAUGACGUCA
This 1177-nucleotide ribosomal RNA is filed under the name uncultured bacterium. RNAcentral describes it as "bacterial SSU rRNA". It matches the Rfam family "Bacterial small subunit ribosomal RNA", at positions 11 to 1187 of the family's 1533-position model. The record is from RNAcentral.